ACCUUGCACUUUUUGCAUUCCCACGUUAUUUUGCUGCAUCAUUUAUGUUUUCUGCACACUACACAAGCUCUCGCAGGCUUUACUUUUGAUGGUGUUGGACAAAUAUGUUUGGGAAAAUGCGCCCAAUGUUGCGUGUGCAGUCUUUGUGGUAUAUCGUCGGAUGCUAAUCGUCCCUCUCGAUUAUAUUCCGUUUCAGACGCAGCAGAUAGCCAUGCUGCUAAACACGGUACAGAAGCUACUAACCCAUCAAGCCACAGGCAACACCUGUAGCUUCGAGUGCCUUUUCGCCAGUUUAAUGAACAAGAGGAAUGGCUUGAGCGAUUGCAACAGUAUGAAGGCCACGUAAUUGCUCAUAACAUACCAGGUUCACAGAUCCCUAGGACAGCACAGCCACAGCAGCCACCAGAGGGUGUCAUCACGACACUGUGGGAUUGCCCCAUGGAGACAGAGCCUUUGCCUCCUCUUGUCCUACUGGUGGAGCUGGGCCUGCCCACGCUGCAGCAGCCGAUAUCUUCUACAUACACUUACCCUUCUGGGUGUUUUCUGGGAAAUGUUUCCACCAGAGCGCAAGCCAGAUGGUGGGAUAUGACAGAUAGUCUGAUGUUCCCUACAGCCACAGCUUCCAGUCCAUCGCGGCGUCCACCCUCCAGUCUCCCCUCCCGUUGUCUUGUUCCUUAUAUGAUGAUGGUCCUUUGCUUUGGGGGGGGGGGGGGCGAAUGUUAUGGCAUAAAGCCAAGUGACGGCACCCCAGUCGGGAACAAUAGAGAAGAGAUGGCUAUGAGAAGACGUCAGCCAAUCACAUGCUGACACACAUGACAACGUGACAGUAGUGGCACCUAUGUGAAGAGGACAUUAGAGCCACAACCGACUGGUGACGCCCCAGUUGAAAAGCAGCUUCAAGAUUAGGCACUUGUAUAGUAGUGACAGUUCUUGUCAACUCACUUGUAUGUUCUACGUAGCACAGACUUGGACCUGUUUAUAAUGAAUAAGUUUGCUAAUUUUGUAUAUCACCUUUCGCUUGCGACACGUGUGUGUAAUUGUGAAGUUAUGUUUUGUAUCUUUUUGUUUGGUAAUAAAACUAAUUAAUAUGA
Schistocerca nitens (vagrant locust) is the source of this 1091-nucleotide long non-coding RNA. RefSeq lists it as uncharacterized. NCBI's taxonomy places the organism in Eukaryota, Metazoa, Arthropoda, Insecta, Orthoptera, Acrididae. The transcript is spliced from 3 exons. The record is from RefSeq and is a predicted model, not a curated record.